Non-coding RNA from Podarcis lilfordi (Lilford's wall lizard), 76 nucleotides. Lineage: Eukaryota; Metazoa; Chordata; Lepidosauria; Squamata; Lacertidae. The record is from the annotation of a GenBank genome assembly.
GGAAGCCCCAUAGCUCAGUGGUUAGAGCACCUGCUUUGCAUUCAGGAGGUCCCCUGUUCAAUUCCUGGCAUCUCCA